UCUCAGAAUCCUAAAUGAUUUAGCACCUCCUCUCUGUCCCUGCUGAAGCCAGCAACACAGCUGCUUCUGCUAUAGGGAAGCGCUUGUGAAUUCACUGGGAGACUCACAUUUGGGCAAGAGGAUCUGCAACCCUCAUAUAGACUUUGCCAUUCAGGCAUUGCAAUCCUAUCCCCCCCCCCCCCCCACCCUUCCCUCCUCUCUCCAGCUCCCCUCCAUCCUUAAAGCUCUAUGUAGCAGCGUGGAUAGCUGGGGAAAUGCAGUAGCAUAGGAUGCAGCCAGAGCCAAAGGCUGAUGGAAGAGAGGGAAAGAGAGAAGGCACCAAAAAAAGAAAAAAAGAUUUGAUGUUUCAGCAAUGGAAAGCCCAUUAACCCUGCACUGGGCAGGGGUGGCACCUGGGUGCUGAGUGAGACCCCCCCCCCCCACCACCACCACCUCUUUGCAAAGGCUGACUUGGUUAAUCUGAUGCAAUGCUGGAUGUACGAGUGCAUGGGAGAUUCCUUGGAUUUUCUGUCUGUUAAACACACUGUUGGAGGUGGCCAUGCCAUCUGCAGGAGCCUGUGCCAUAGAUUCUCCAAUUUGCUAGCCAGGCAUUGAUCUACCACCCUCACCCAGACAAAUGUUGGCCAAGCUGUUCUGAUUGGGAUGUCCUUUUGCCUACAUCCUCUCUCUCUUCUUCUUUUUUUUUUUUUUUUUCUUUGGUACUCAUUUUAUUCUUCACUUGCUGGAUGAACUAAAGGUGGGAAAUUCCUGAUUCCUUUAAUGCAACUAGAUUGUAAUUAUUUUUAUUUUUAUUUUUUUUACUGGCUAUUCCAUGUGACUUACAAAACUGCAUAGAGUGAUGGAAGAGCAUACAUUCCCAUAGACAAGCCGGAUCGAUAGCUUAUCAAAUGGGUCCUCGGAGAGUACAUUGUGUCUGGGAUUCCGUUAGCCAAAGAAAAAAGCGCGAACAGGUUGAAGCUGUUCAUUUAAAUGCAGAGGUACACAGUCCACUGUGGAAUACUGGCAGACUGAGUGACAUGGCACUAAUGGGCGGCUCCUGAUUUUUGAGCGCAUGUGUAUGGCAGACAUAUCAGAGUCUUCCAGCGAAGAGGAUUCUGUGCCAAGCCAACACUCGUUCCGGUUCGUUCUUAGCAAGAGACAACACUGCCAGCUUCCUAUCCUGUGCAGGGGUUUAGGUGUUAGUGGCGCCUGCUUGUCUUAGUCUGGAGGACU
Rana temporaria (common frog) is the source of this 1212-nucleotide long non-coding RNA. RefSeq lists it as uncharacterized. NCBI's taxonomy places the organism in Eukaryota, Metazoa, Chordata, Amphibia, Anura, Ranidae. The transcript is spliced from 4 exons. The record is from RefSeq and is a predicted model, not a curated record.